GGCUCAUAGUGUAGUGGUUAGCACGUCUGCUUUACAACAGAAGGUCCUUGGUUCACACGCCAGGUGGAGCCA
Molecule: transfer RNA, 72 nt
Filed under: Pteropus alecto (black flying fox)
Lineage: Eukaryota; Metazoa; Chordata; Mammalia; Chiroptera; Pteropodidae
Rfam family: tRNA
About the family: Transfer RNA (tRNA) molecules are approximately 80 nucleotides in length. Their secondary structure includes four short double-helical elements and three loops (D, anti-codon, and T loops).
Source: Rfam by way of RNAcentral